RNAcentral lists this ribosomal RNA (460 nucleotides) under uncultured bacterium. RNAcentral describes it as "partial 16S ribosomal RNA". It matches the Rfam family "Bacterial small subunit ribosomal RNA", at positions 338 to 795 of the family's 1533-position model. The record is from RNAcentral.
CCUACGGGUGGCAGCAGUGAGGAAUAUUGGUCAAUGGGCGGAAGCCUGAACCAGCCAAGUAGCGUGCAGGAUGACGGCCCUACGGGUUGUAAACUGCUUUUAUACGGGAAUAACGCGCCUUACGUGUAGGGCUUUGCAUGUACCGUAUGAAUAAGGACCGGCUAAUUCCGUGCCAGCAGCCGCGGUAAUACGGAAGGUCCGGGCGUUAUCCGGAUUUAUUGGGUUUAAAGGGAGCGUAGGCCGCAUGUCAAGCGUGCUGUGAAAUGUCCGGGCUCAACCCGGGCCUUGCAGCGCGAACUGGCGUGCUUGAGUCCGCGGAAAGCAGGCGGAAUUCGUCGUGUAGCGGUGAAAUGCUUAGAUAUGACGAAGAACCCCGAUUGCGAAGGCGGGUUCCUGGACAUUAACUGACGCUGAGGCACGAAGGCCAGGGGAGCGAAAGGGAUUAGAUACCCCUGUAGUC